Molecule: ribosomal RNA, 253 nt
Filed under: uncultured bacterium
Lineage: Bacteria
Description: partial 16S ribosomal RNA
Rfam family: Bacterial small subunit ribosomal RNA
Source: RNAcentral
UACGUAGGGUGCGAGCGUUAAUCGGAAUUACUGGGCGUAAAGCGUGCGCAGGCGGUUCGUGAUGUCUGAUGUGAAAGCCCCGGGCUUAACCUGGGAAUGGCAUUGGAAACUAGCGGGCUGGAGUGUGGCAGAGGGGGGUGGAAUUCCACGUGUAGCAGUGAAAUGCGUAGAGAUGUGGAGGAACACCGAUGGCGAAGGCAGCCCCCUGGGCUAACACUGACGCUGAGACGCGAAAGCGUGGGGAGCGAACAGG